Prionailurus viverrinus (fishing cat) is the source of this 601-nucleotide long non-coding RNA. RefSeq lists it as uncharacterized. The transcript has 2 exons. The record is from RefSeq and is a predicted model, not a curated record. NCBI's taxonomy places the organism in Eukaryota, Metazoa, Chordata, Mammalia, Carnivora, Felidae.
AUUCCUGCAAAGCUGGAAAUGAAGACCUGCAAAGGGUCUGAGAUCUUAUUCUGUUUGCAAGCUAACUGGUUAGUCUGCUGGCAGAACAGCAGGGCCUGGGAGAGCCAAAAUCUUCCGGGCCUGGGAGAGCCAACAUGUGGGCAUUCGUGCCAUUUGCCACAGGUCGACGCCGUGAACGCCCCACACUGCCUGCUCACGUAGCGCCUUGUGUUCCAGGAGGAGGAAUCGAAUCCCAAACUGAGGGAACUUGAAUCUUUUACCACGGAUGUAAGAAAUCUACAAAAGAUUUGUAGAUUUGGUCGGAGUCAGAUAAGAGAGGAGGAGGCCGAUGCCAGAGGCGGAGACUCUUUCUAACAAGGCUGGUUCACGGCUCAAGAAGCUCCAUCACCACAGAGUUAUCCAGAUGUUCCUGUUCUUUCUCCAAAUGUGUGUGGAGCACUGAAGGCACGGAUCCCUUUCCUGGGAUCUUCCCAAGUGUAGCUGUCCUCCCGAGCCAAGUCCGGCACACCACCCUGGGGAAUCGUGCGACCUCAGAGCCUCAUCAACUCUCAUGACUUCUGUGCCUUUAAGUGUUUCCCCAAUAAAUCUGAUUUUUACUUUA